RNAcentral lists this ribosomal RNA (164 nucleotides) under Phyllanthus ligustrifolius. RNAcentral's name for it is "5.8S ribosomal RNA". It matches the Rfam family "5.8S ribosomal RNA". From Rfam's summary of the family: 5.8S ribosomal RNA (5.8S rRNA) is a component of the large subunit of the eukaryotic ribosome. It is transcribed by RNA polymerase I as part of the 45S precursor that also contains 18S and 28S rRNA. Lineage: Eukaryota; Viridiplantae; Streptophyta; Magnoliopsida; Malpighiales; Phyllanthaceae. The record is from RNAcentral.
AAAAUGACUCUCGGCAACGGAUAUCUCGGCUCUCGCAUCGAUGAAGAACGUAGCGAAAUGCGAUACUUGGUGUGAAUUGCAGAAUCCCGUGAACCAUCGAGUUUUUGAACGCAAGUUGCGCCCAAAGCCUUCGGGUUGAGGGCACGUCUGCCUGGGUGUCACGC